UAGGAAUGUAAACUAUAUACAUUUUUAUGGGAAUGUCAAAUGUUAUAUUAUGGAUGAAGUUGUGGAUUUGUGUUGUUUGAUUGUAAAUAGCAUGAAAUAUAUAUUUAUAUAUAUAGCAGAAAAAUAUGAGCAGGAAAUUAGUAUUUGAAAUUAUAUUUUUUUAAUGCUAUCCCUAUUUCACACGAAAUAGUGUGAAUUAAAGUAGACAAAAUUGACACAUUCAUCCGUGAAUAAGUUACCUCACAGAUUUAGGUGAAUGAAAUUUUACACAGUUAUCUGUGUGAAUAGAUCCUACCAAUUCGCACAGACAUCCGUGUGAAUUACAAAGUUGUUCUCACUGAAUAAGUUCUCAUAAAACAAUCACGUUUUCUGGAUAUGUGAUGGGGCCCACGUCAACUAUUAGCACGGACAUUUUUAUCUGUGUGUGUUGAGCAUUAGCCCCCCCCCCCCUCCCUGCAAACAGCACGGAUAGGCAUUUCGUGAGUGUAGCGUGACUAAUGGCUUUCUCACACGGAUGUCUGUGUGAGAUAUCUAUAUUUCACAUUGAUUUAAUUCUGUGUGAAGCUUCAUUUAAUUUUGUGUGAUAUCUAUAUUUCACACUGAUUUAAAUCUGUGUGAAGCUUCGUUUUGCUAGUAGUGUGACGUGCCUCCCUAUCCCUGCUGGGUUGAAUGACUUAAUUCAAUUCUUAGAAGUACAGGUAAAUAUUAGUGUUGAUCACAGUCUUUAUAUUUAGUCUUGUAGUGCAAGAAAGGAUUUAAGAGUAUAUGCAGAUGUUUCAGGGAUCUUAAUAAUAUACGGUUCAUAUUAAAAAAAAACAAGACAAGACGGGUCAACUUUUAGAUAGUAAAAUAGCUAAACUUGGAAACCCAAGUGGUCUGAGAUGAAAAUAGGAACCGCUAAAGAUAUAAAACAGUGACACAAGGUUAUUCUUAUAUUAAAGUGAUAUCCCAGCUCCACACUAACAUCAAAAUAAAAAAACUGCAUCAAGCUAGUUAUUAUGCUAAUAAAAUUUAACAUCUUUAAGCUUAGUCAAAAGGAUUGAGUACUGGAACUCCGUGCAUAUAGGCGAAAAUACGAAUCUUGUCGUCCUCCGGAGAAUAGCGCCGUGCAACUACUUCGAUACUUCCCUUCCAUCCCUCACUGCGAAGGAUUUUAACUGUGAAGAGAUCUACUAGAGCUUCAACCUUGAUGACGUCUAGGGCCAUGAGGUGUUGUUUGUGAGUCUCCAGGGCAACUCGGGAUGCAUGGAGAUCUUCCUCAGUUUCGUCAGUGAGAUGAUGUCGUCUAAUAUUAGAGAACUCAAUCAUGAACCUUCUCAAGCGUUUGAGUGAGUCCAUCUCCAUAGUUAGAGAAUCUGCACUUUACAAAAAUCUCGUUUAUGAUUUAGCAAGAGAAAUUUCAGAAUAGAGAGUAGAGUAUCAGAGAUGUAUCUUAUUCAUUGAUAGGAUCUUAUAUAUAAAGGAUUACAGAGUAUCAAUAUGACGAAGACAAAAAAUACAUAGUACUAUUCUAACUACAUAUCUUAAUUAAAUAAAGAUACAUGAUCCUAUUUUAACUACGUAUUCUAAUAAAAUAAAUUCAAAUCAAUCAAGGAUACAUGAAUGAGAAUAAGAUCGAUCCAGAACUUAAAAACUAGUCAACUCCGUGCAUAUAUGCGAAAAUACGAAUCUGAGAGAGAAGCACAACUUCGAUGAGCUGAGGGAGGAGAUCAAUCGCCAGACUAUUCAGGCGCAGAGUGACAUUGAGGCUCUGAAGAAGCAGCUGGAGGAGGCCAAGAUUGUGAGGCGGCAUAAGGAGGAGUGCGAGGCCAUUCGGCGGUUGAUUGCGAUGCAGCCGCCGCGGUCUCAGACGCUGAAGAUCAUUUCGGAUUUGGAGAAGGAGAUUGCGGCGUUGGAUUCGGAGAACACAGCCAGUUCGAGGAUGCUGGAGCUUCGGAAGAAGCAGUUUGCUCUGCUCUUACAUGUGGUAUGUUGCUCUGUGAUGGUGCAUUGUGUUGCGAAAGCGAAUUCGGAGUGAGAUUAGGUGUGACUCUUGUGGUUUUGUGUGCAGGUGGAUGAGUUGCAGACUACGAUAGAGGAAGAGCAGAAGAGUUUAAUUGAGGAGAAGGAGCAGAGAAGUGUGAUGGAGUUUGCAAAUGGAGGACCGGAACCAAUGCAUGUUGAUUGAGGGUGUACAAUGCAUCUCGGAUUUGUAAUUGUAAGAUUCUAUGCCUCAUAUAUUCUAUUGAUGCAAUGGUUUCGGUCUUGAUUGGUAUAAGAGAGUAUGGAUCAGCAACUUGUAGGAUCUCUUGAGCAUCUGGCUCAGAAGAGAAUGGCUAGAAGUUUCGUCUUGGUACUAGCUCCUAUGUAGUUCACGUUUUUAAGCUUUUCUAUUGCUUGUUUAGCAUUUGUAUGCAUCACAUUAUACAGUAACAUUAUGGUUAUCAUUUAGAUGAUUAUGAGAGUUGGAGAAUGCACAUGAUUCGGUAUCAAGUACAUGCUUAUGCGUUUAAAGACCGUGUACUGUUGCUGUUGCCCCUUUACUUAGACUGCGAGAUAAUACUCUUCUCAUGUAAAAGAACAUAUAUCUAAUGUUUGUUAGCAAGCCAAAAGGAUUUUAUCCCCUACUAGGGUUUAGUGCAAUGGUCAGCCCCAUAUUUCAGAUCUGUUAUCUGGGGUGCAAACCCCCCUCAGUUAUCCACCUUGUUAUUUGCUAAAGUUUCUUGCCGCUUAAAGAUUGUAGGGUUUGGCAGGAGGCCCAGUUUUAAACCGUAUAUGGAAUAUGGGGUUGAGGGUUUCUGGUCUCAAAGGAAUGUGUUUGUAUAAUAUAUAUGUUCAUAUGUUGUUUCUUUUCACACACACACACACAUUCAUAUGUCUAUCUAUAUUAAAGGUAUGAUAAAAGGAUGAAUAUUAUUUGUUAAAUAACCCUGUUUCUAUAAUUUCAUUAGAUGAUAAGGUUCCACUAUUGUUAGAAGAGGUUAAUGGAAAGAGUAUAUUUUGUAAAAUAAUGCUAGAUUUCUUUUCAAUUUCAUCUCCCUUGAUCGAGUAAAGUAGGACUUGUUCUUCAAGCUGCGGUGUUCAAAAUAUGAUAGGCCAGUUGACUCCAUGUUACAUAUAUAUAUAUAUAUAUAUAUAUAUAUAUAUAUAUAUAUCAAUCUACGGGCUAGAUCCAUAGUUGACUUCCUGUUACAUCAAAAAUAAACUAGUAUUAUUUCGACUCCCUAUUUAUCUACAUCUAUCUCUUUCUAUUCUGAAGGCACCAGAUGGGAUUCAAUAGUUGACUCUUAUGUUGAGAGAUUACACCCCAAGGUUACCCUCUGGAGUUGACCAGUUGAAUUUAGUUCAGUGUAACAUUUUCUUUGUUUUUCAAAAGGAACAGCUUUUUAUUGAUACAAAGAGCACAAGGAGGCGGACAAGGAGUCCACUUUAGAUGGCAAGAGGGUAGCUAAGAACAGAGGCUUAGCAGCUUAUCUGUUAAGGAGUAGUCUGGAAUACACCCGGUAGUUUUGAGCCGAACCGGCUUAGAUAGCGCGCUGCAGACGUGGGAGACUGUAAACCACAUGUCGGAGCCGUCAAGCUUUUCUGUCUGUUGACCGUGAAAUGCAAACAAAAGUGAAAAAAAACGCAGAAGCCGGCGUGAAAAGGGUAGGAGGGUAUUUGCAAAGGUCGCACCCCCCUAAAUUAGGUUGGUAUCCCCCCUUAUUUUGGUGGUUUUGGGAGGGUUGGAUUGCGAUUUGUAGUAGACUGAGCAAUGAGGGCUGAACAGUGAAGAAGUAAACCAGAUCGAGUGAAAUGGUUGAUUGAGCGGGGUGACCGAAAGGGAGUGAGAAGAUCGAAGCAAGUGAGUGUUGUGGGCGUCAUCAUCGGAAAAACUAUUUCGUCUUCGUCGUCCUCUCCAUCUGGUAGUUAUGUUUGUUUUGGUUUGUUGGGUUCUGCUUUUUACAGUGAAGACUAUGUUUUGCGUGUUUAUUAGCUUGGUUGUUUAAUUUUGCUUGGAAUUGGGGUGUUUUGUAUAUUGACGUUUGAAUUUGCUGGUUGCAAAUUUUGGUGCUUUAUGAUUAGCAAGUGAGAAUUGUGGUUUUUGAUAGUCAUGGUUUAUGAAUCAUGCGGAAAUAUGGAUGCAGUUGUUGUAUCUGUUUCUGAAUGGAAGUGUGGAGACUUUUUGCUAUCUUUCACGGCACCCAUAUUUCACUUUGCAUAUACAUAAAUUAGCUUGUAGAGUUGAUAUGUAGUACAAAUCCUUGUUGAAACCGAAUUGUAGUUUCAUGUAGUACUUGGUUUGAUCCUAACAAN
RNAcentral lists this long non-coding RNA (4275 nucleotides) under Fragaria vesca (wild strawberry). Its description in RNAcentral is "long non-coding RNA (FVES_LNC001766)". The record is from RNAcentral. Lineage: Eukaryota; Viridiplantae; Streptophyta; Magnoliopsida; Rosales; Rosaceae.